RNAcentral lists this ribosomal RNA (407 nucleotides) under uncultured bacterium. RNAcentral's name for it is "partial 16S ribosomal RNA". It matches the Rfam family "Bacterial small subunit ribosomal RNA", at positions 30 to 526 of the family's 1533-position model. The record is from RNAcentral.
AUUGAACGCUGGCGGCGGGCCUAACACAUGCAAGUCGAGCGGAGCGGAGGACGGGUGAGUAAUGCCUAGGAAUCUGCCUGGUAGUGGGGGAUAACGUCCGGAGACGGGCGCUAAUACCGCAUACUAUCAGAUGAGCCUAGGUCGGAUUAGCUAGUUGGUGGGGUAAAGGCCUACCAAGGCGACGAUGCGUCACUGGGCUGAGAGGAUGAUCAGUCACAAUGGAACUGAGACACGGUCCAGAGUCAUACGGGAGGCAGCAGUGGGGAAUAUUGGACAAUGGGCGAAAGCCUGAUCCAGCCAUGCCGCGUGUGUGAAGAAGGUCGUCGGAUCGUAAAGAACUUUAAGUUGGGAGGCGUUACCAACAGAAUAAGCACCGGCUAACUUCGUGCCAGCCGCCGCGGUAAUUC